AUUGAACGCUGGCGGCAUGCCUUACACAUGCAAGUCGAACGGCAGCACGGGUGCUUGCACCUGGUGGCGAGUGGCGAACGGGUGAGUAAUACAUCGGAACAUGUCCUGUAGUGGGGGAUAGCCCGGCGAAAGCCGGAUUAAUACCGCAUACGAUCUACGGAUGAAAGAGGGGGACCUUCGGGCCUCGCGCUAUAGGGUUGGCCGAUGGCUGAUUAGCUAGUUGGUGGGGUAAAGGCCUACCAAGGCGACGAUCAGUAGCUGGUCUGUGAGGACGACCAGCCACACUGGUACUGAGACACGGCCCAGCCUCCUACGGGAGGCAGCAGUGGGGUAUUUUGCACAAUGGGCGAAAGCCUGAUCCAGCAAUGCCGCGUGUGUGAAGAAGGCCUUCGGGUUGUAAAGCACUUUUGUCCGGAAAGAAAUCCUUGGCCCUAAUACGGUCGGGGGAUGACGGUACCGGAAGAAUAAGCACCGGCUAACUACGUG
Molecule: ribosomal RNA, 486 nt
Filed under: uncultured bacterium
Lineage: Bacteria
Description: partial 16S ribosomal RNA
Rfam family: Bacterial small subunit ribosomal RNA
Source: RNAcentral